This 321-nucleotide ribosomal RNA is filed under the name uncultured bacterium. Its description in RNAcentral is "bacterial SSU rRNA". It matches the Rfam family "Bacterial small subunit ribosomal RNA", at positions 478 to 793 of the family's 1533-position model. The record is from RNAcentral.
GCUGCAGAAGAAGCACCGGCUAACUCCGUGCCAGCAGCCGCGGUAAUACGGAGGGUGCGAGCGUUAAUCGGAAUUACUGGGCGUAAAGCGCAUGCAGGUGGUUUGUUAAGUCAGAUGUGAAAGCCCGGGGCGUCAACCUCGGAAUAGCAUUUGAAACUGGCAGACUAGAGUACUGUAGAGGGGGGUAGGAAUUUCAGGUGUAGCGGUGAAAUGCGUAGAGAUCUGAAGGAAUACCGGUGGCGAAGGCGGCCCCCUGGACAGAUACUGACACUCAGACUGCGAAAGCGUGGGGAGCCAAACAGGAUUAGAUACCCCUGGUAG